CAAUAGCGUAUAUUAAAGUUGUUGCAGUUAAAAAGCUCGUAGUUGGAUUUGUGGCGUACGGUGUGUUCCGGGCACUUGUUGUCUGAGUAACCUGCUGUUGCCAUCCUUGGGUGGAACCUGUGUGGCAUUAGGUUGUCGUGCAGGGGAUGCCCAUCAUUUACUGUGAAAAAAUUAGAGUGUUCGAAGCAGGCUUAUGCCGUUGAAUAUAUUAGCAUGGAAUAAUGAGAUAGGACUUUUUUGCUAUUUUGUUGGUUUGCGCAAGAAGGUAAUGAUUAAUAGGGACAGUUGGGGGUAUUCGUAUUCCAUUGUCAGAGGUGAAAUUCUUGGAUUUUUGGAAGACGAACUACUGCGAAAGCAUUUACCAAGGAUGUUUUCAUUAA
Molecule: ribosomal RNA, 380 nt
Filed under: uncultured eukaryote
Lineage: Eukaryota
Description: partial 18S ribosomal RNA
Rfam family: Eukaryotic small subunit ribosomal RNA
Source: RNAcentral